UGUCAAUAUUUUGAAUGGAGGGCUUCUUU
RNAcentral lists this non-coding RNA (29 nucleotides) under Rattus norvegicus (Norway rat). The record is from RNAcentral. Lineage: Eukaryota; Metazoa; Chordata; Mammalia; Rodentia; Muridae.